AUGCUGAUUCACCCCCUGAAGAGAAACCUCUUAAGAAACCUGAGACUCUCCCCAACGAAAGUGUUUCUGCAAAAGAAAAUACUUGCAGACCCAAUUGAGGCAUGCAAACCAAUACCUCUUGACAAACAUGUAAGCAAGGGUGAACAAAAAUCAGAUAGGUUUGCCAAUAGUUCACUAUGUGAAACAUCAGCCGUAUCUCAGUUAAGAGUGAGAGUGAGACGCGAAACUUGCGGAAAAGGGUUUGUGCCUUAUAAAAGGUGCAUGUCAAAGAAAGAAAUCCAGUCUUCAUCUGCAACAACUGAUGAAAGAUAA
Vicia faba (fava bean) is the source of this 312-nucleotide non-coding RNA. NCBI's taxonomy places the organism in Eukaryota, Viridiplantae, Streptophyta, Magnoliopsida, Fabales, Fabaceae. The record is from the annotation of a GenBank genome assembly.